GGCUCAGGAUGAACGCUGGCGGCGUGCCUAACACAUGCAAGUCGAACGAAGCACAUACGACGGAACUCUUCGGAGGGAAGAUGUAUGUGACUGAGUGGCGGACGGGUGAGUAACGCGUGGGUAACCUGCCCUAUACAGGGGGACAACAGUUGGAAACGACUGCUAAUACCGCAUAAGCGCACAGUACCGCAUGGUACAGAGCGAAAAACUCCGGUGGUAUGAGAUGGACCCGCGUCUGAUUAGCCAGUUGGCGGGUAACGGCCCACCAAAGCGACGAUCAGUAGCCGACCUGAGAGGGUGACCGGCCACAUUGGGACUGAGACACGGCCCAAACUCCUACGGGAGGCAGCAGUGGGGAAUAUUGCACAAUGGGGGAAACCCUGAUGCAGCGACGCCGCGUGAGCGAAGAAGUAUUUCGGUAUGUAAAGCUCUAUCAGCAGGGAAGAAGAAUGACGGUACCUGACUAAGAAGCACCGGCUAAAUACGUG
Molecule: ribosomal RNA, 488 nt
Filed under: uncultured bacterium
Lineage: Bacteria
Description: bacterial SSU rRNA
Rfam family: Bacterial small subunit ribosomal RNA
Source: RNAcentral